Molecule: ribosomal RNA, 201 nt
Filed under: uncultured bacterium
Lineage: Bacteria
Description: partial 16S ribosomal RNA
Rfam family: Bacterial small subunit ribosomal RNA
Source: RNAcentral
ACGCUCGACACCUACGGGAGGUAGCAGUUGGGAAUAUUGGACAAUGGAGGAAACUCUGAUCCAGUGACGCCGCGUGAAGGAAGAAGGUCUUCGGAUUGUAAACUUAUUUUGUCAGGGAAGAAAAAAUGACUGUACCUGAAGAAAAAGCACCGGCUAAACUACGUGCCAACAGCCGCGGUAAUCUGAGCGGGCUGGCAAGGC